CACGCCCUAAACGAUGUCAACUGGUUGUUGGGGAUUCACUUCCUCAGUAACGAAGCUAACGCGUGAAGUUGACCGCCUGGGGAGUACGGCCGCAAGGUUAAAACUCAAAGGAAUUGACGGGGACCCGCACAAGCGGUGGAUGAUGUGGUUUAAUUCGAUGCAACGCGAAAAACCUUACCCACCUUUGACAUGUACGGAAGUUGCCAGAGAUGGCUUCGUGCUCGAAAGAGAACCGUAACACAGGUGC
Molecule: ribosomal RNA, 247 nt
Filed under: uncultured Comamonadaceae bacterium
Lineage: Bacteria; Pseudomonadati; Pseudomonadota; Betaproteobacteria; Burkholderiales; Comamonadaceae
Description: partial 16S ribosomal RNA
Rfam family: Bacterial small subunit ribosomal RNA
Source: RNAcentral